GCCAGGUGUGGUGGUGCACAUCUGUAAUCCCAGCAGCCGUUCUGGAGGCUGAGGCAGGAGGAUCACGAGUUCAAAGCCAGCCUCAGCAACUUAGCAAGGUCCUGUCUCUA
This 110-nucleotide small RNA is filed under the name Marmota monax (woodchuck). Lineage: Eukaryota; Metazoa; Chordata; Mammalia; Rodentia; Sciuridae. The record is from RNAcentral.